RNAcentral lists this ribosomal RNA (460 nucleotides) under uncultured bacterium. RNAcentral describes it as "partial 16S ribosomal RNA". It matches the Rfam family "Bacterial small subunit ribosomal RNA", at positions 338 to 795 of the family's 1533-position model. The record is from RNAcentral.
CCUACGGGUGGCAGCAGUGAGGAAUAUUGGUCAAUGGACGAGAGUCUGAACCAGCCACGUAGCGUGAAGGAUGACUGCCCUAUGGGUUGUAAACUUCUUUUAUAUGGGAAUAAAACGUUCCACGUGUGGGAUUUUGUAUGUACCAUAUGAAUAAGGAUCGGCUAAAUCCGUGCCAGCAGCCGCGGUAAUAAGGAGGAUCCGAGCGUUAUCCGGAUUUAUUGGGUUUAAAGGGAGCGUAGGUGGAUUGGUAAGUCAGUUGUGAAAGUGUGCGGCUCAACCGUAAAAUGGCAGUUGAAACUGGCAGUCUUGAGUACAGUAGAGGUGGGCGGAAUUCGUGGUGUAGCGGUGAAAUGCUUAGAUAUCACGAAGAACUCCGAUUGCGAAGGCAGUUCACUGGACUGCAACUGACACUGAGGCUCGAAAGUGUGGGUAUCAAACAGGAUUAGAUACCCGUGUAGUC